GACGAACGCUGGCGGCGUGCUUAACACAUGCAAGUCGAACGGAAAGGCCCUGCUUUUGUGGGGUGCUCGAGUGGCGAACGGGUGAGUAACACGUGAGUAACCUGCCCUUGACUUUGGGAUAACUUCAGGAAACUGGGGCUAAUACCGGAUAGGAGCUCCUGCUGCAUGGUGGGGGUUGGAAAGUUUCGGCGGUUGGGGAUGGACUCGCGGCUUAUCAGCUUGUUGGUGGGGUAGUGGCUUACCAAGGCUUUGACGGGUAGCCGGCCUGAGAGGGUGACCGGCCACAUUGGGACUGAGAUACGGCCCAGACUCCUACGGGAGGCAGCAGUGGGGAAUAUUGCACAAUGGGCGGAAGCCUGAUGCAGCAACGCCGCGUGCGGGAUGACGGCCUUCGGGUUGUAAACCGCUUUCGCCUGUGACGAAGCGUGAGUGACGGUAAUGGGUAAAGAAGCACCGGCUAACUACGUGCCAGCAGCCGCGGUGAUACGUAGGGUGCGAGCGUUGUCCGGAUUUAUUGGGCGUAAAGGGCUCGUAGGUGGUUGAUCGCGUCGGAAGUGUAAUCUUGGGGCUUAACCCUGAGCGUGCUUUCGAUACGGGUUGACUUGAGGAAGGUAGGGGAGAAUGGAAUUCCUGGUGGAGCGGUGGAAUGCGCAGAUAUCAGGAGGAACACCAGUGGCGAAGGCGGUUCUCUGGGCCUUUCCUGACGUUGAGGAGCGAAAGCGUGGGGAGCGAACAGGCUUAGAUACCCUGGUAGUCCACGCUGUAAACGGUGGGUACUAGGUGUGGGGUCCAUUCCACGGGUUCCGUGCCGUAGCUAACGCUUUAAGUACCCCGCCUGGGGAGUACGGCCGCAAGGCUAAAACUCAAAGGAAUUGACGGGGCCCCGCACAAGCGGCGGAGCAUGCGGAUUAAUUCGAUGCAACGCGUAGAACCUUACCUGGGUUUGACAUGGAUCGGGAGUGCUCAGAGAUGGGUGUGCCUCUUUUGGGGUCGGUUCACAGGUGGUGCAUGGCUGUCGUCAGCUCGUGUCGUGAGAUGUUGGGUUAAGUCCCGCAACGAGCGCAACCCCUGUUCACUGUUGCCAGCACGUUAUGGUGGGGACUCAGUGGAGACCGCCGGGGUCAACUCGGAGGAAGGUGGGGAUGACGUCAAGUCAUCAUGCCCCUUAUGUCCAGGGCUUCACGCAUGCUACAAUGGCUGGUACAGAGAGUGGCGAGCCUGUGAGGGUGAGCGAAUCUCGGAAAGCCGGUCUCAGUUCGGAUUGGGGUCUGCAACUCGACCUCAUGAAGUCGGAGUCGCUAGUAAUCGCAGAUCAGCAACGCUGCGGUGAAUACGUUCCCGGG
This 1343-nucleotide ribosomal RNA is filed under the name uncultured bacterium. RNAcentral's name for it is "16S ribosomal RNA". It matches the Rfam family "Bacterial small subunit ribosomal RNA", at positions 28 to 1378 of the family's 1533-position model. The record is from RNAcentral.